Molecule: ribosomal RNA, 1022 nt
Filed under: uncultured bacterium
Lineage: Bacteria
Description: bacterial SSU rRNA
Rfam family: Bacterial small subunit ribosomal RNA
Source: RNAcentral
AGAGUUUGAUCAUGGCUCAGGACGAACGCUGGCGGCGUGCCUAACACAUGCAAGUCGAGCGAGAAAGUCUCCUUCGGGAGAUGAGUACAGCGGCGAACGGGUGAGUAACACGUGAGCGAUCUGCCCGGCGGCGGGGGAUAACCCAGGGAAACCUGGGCUAAUACCGCAUACUGCACCGGCUUGGAAGCCGGAUGUGAAAGCUGGCCUCUCGAAGAAGCUAGCACCGUCGGAUGAGCUCGCGGCCUAUCAGCUUGUUGGUGGGGUAACGGCCUACCAAGGCGAUGACGGGUAGCUGGCGUGAGAGCGUGGCCAGCCACACUGGGACUGAGACACGGCCCAGACUCCUACGGGAGGCAGCAGUGGGGAAUAUUGCGCAAUGGGCGAAAGUCUGACGGAGCAACGCCGCGUGAGUGAAGAAGGGUUUCGGCUCGUAAAACUCUGUUGUCAGGGAAGAACGCCGACGGGAGUAACUGCUCGUCGGGUGACGGUACCUGACCAGAAAGCCACGGCUAACUACGUGCCAGCAGCCGCGGUAAUACGUAGGUGGCAAGCGUUAUCCGGAAUUAUUGGGCGUAAAGCGCGCGUAGGCGGUUCGUUAAGUCUGAUGUGAAAGCCCCCGGCUCAACCGGGGAGGGUCAUUGGAAACUGGCGGACUUGAGUGCAGAAGAGGAGAGUGGAAUUCCAUGUGUAGCGGUGAAAUGCGCAGAGAUAUGGAGGAACACCAGUGGCGAAGGCGGCUCUCUGGUCUGCAACUGACGCUGAGGUGCGAAAGCGUGGGGAUCAAACAGGAUUAGAUACCCUGGUAGUCCACGCCGUAAACGAUGAGUGCUAAGUGUUAAGGGGGUUUCCGCCCCUUAGUGCUGCAGCUAACGCAUUAAGCACUCCGCCCGGGGGAGUACGGCCGCCAAGGUUGAAACUCAAAAGGAAUUGACGGGGGACCCGCACAAACCGGUGGAGCAAGGUGGUUUUAUUUUGAAGCAACGCCGAAGAACCUUUCCAAAAAUUUGGAAUCCUCUUGACCA